RNAcentral lists this ribosomal RNA (1861 nucleotides) under Triticum aestivum (bread wheat). RNAcentral's name for it is "partial small subunit ribosomal RNA". Lineage: Eukaryota; Viridiplantae; Streptophyta; Magnoliopsida; Poales; Poaceae. The record is from RNAcentral.
GGAACGCGAACGCGCCGAGCCCGCGCUCUAGGCCGCUUAGAGGGAGCACGGCUUCGACUUUGCCUUCCGUUAAUUUUUACUUGUCUCUGCCGUAGGGCCAGGGGCGGCCCGCCGGCCGAGCCGGCAGGACGGCAAGCAGCGAUGCCAGGUCGGUUUGCUCGCGGAGCUCUAGACGAGGAAGAAGGGCGGAGAGGGCCCAGUCUUCGGUCUCGACCGAUUAGAGGUAGGGCAAGCGAGGGCGGAGGUUUGGGGUUUGGGGUGCGCUAGCGCGCGGGUUAGUGGGCUCCGCUAGGGAGCAACUGGGAGGCGUCGCAGGUCUAGGCCGCUGGCGGCGGAGUUUUCGUAACGGGCUUGGGGAGGUAUUUAGCGGGGCGCCAAGUCAGCUGCCUGUCGUAGGGCGGCGAGAAGCGAGCUGGGGAGGUGGGCGAGAGGGAGGAGCUGGCGGCCGCCUAGGCAGGUCCUCGCCGCGUACACUGAAGCUGGUGUUUGCUUCUACAGAUUAGAGAGUCUCGGGAGUUUUCUUCUACCAAGUCAGCUCUUUUGACCUCGAACCUUAUUGUGUACCUCGUGAGAAUACGCGGUGCGAAGUCAGAUACCACACCGACGACCAAUAACGGACAGUCGUAGAGACGAGAGGUAAUAGUUGUUUACCCGUUAGUACUUCAAAGGGAUGGGACCUCGUGACUGUCGGAAUGUCAUGGAGUGAUCACAACGACCUCAAGAGGACACACCUGUCGAUUUCGAAUAACUCGGUCUAUCCGACUUAAACUCCUGGUACACCUUCAAGGAUGGACGACGACAAUACAAGAUGUAGAGUUAGAAGUGUUUGUCGCUCGAGGACUACGUACGGUUACACCUGUGAAAGUAGCACAAAGCCAGACGACACGGCUAUAAACACCGGUAACCCCUCUGUGAAAUGGAAGUGGUUGGUACGGGUAGUAAGUUCUGUACCGAGAGUGAAAGGUGAUAUGAACCACCUUCACACUAUAUACAAAAGUGUCUAUUGGUCAAGUGGGACUGACGAAUGUCGACCCGUUAUCGGAUAGAUCGCUCGUACAGAUAACUAAAGCACAUGUAGUUCGUGCAGCAGUACUGGUAGCCCAACUUGUGUACCCCAGAACACGAGAUGUUGUUGGAACUCCGAGACAACAACAAGGGGGAACUCGAGGAAUAUUACCCUCUCAAAUUAGUCUACUUCCAGCUGUCGAGGUUCUACUGUUGUUUGACCGAUAGCAAGCUGCACCAGGAAGGACAACGAGACAGUACGGACAAACCCAAUAGAUAUAGGAAGAAACCUAAGAGGACGUCUGCCCGGUAGAGACGAUGACCUAAAUGCCACGAGCCAUAUCACUUGUUCGAGGACUGGCAGCACUAGUUAGACGAAUAGACCCUGUUCGUACGCAGGGAACACCCCUGUUAACCCGAGAACUAUACGUACAGACCACCACAAGAGAUGGUCGUUAGCUGGUGUUUCGGGUUCCACGGGUUCUAGCUCGGUUUCCUUCUCCUGCUACUUCUCCCCGUCUUAAACGACGUCUAAGUCGGGCCCGUACUCUCGUUGGGUUCAGUUUUCGUAAGGAGUAUUCGAAUGAAAUGGAAGGGAGCCGUUGGGUAAGCACCAUAUAGAGUCUACUCCUUAGAACUUGUACGACAUCUUGUAGCCACAAAGUUCUCUUUGAUUUAAAGUAAGAUGUUAUAGAAACAAUAACAUAUGACAAAAAGUAACCAAUCUGUCCUAACACCACCACCACAUCCCAUGGUCUGUGGAGUUGUAUGGUCCCAGCUUAGGGUACAUAUGACUUGGUACAUACGAUAAAUGGUAUAAGGUCUUUAUGUUUCCUACAUGAAUAAGUGAGACGCC